This 81-nucleotide microRNA precursor is filed under the name Bombyx mori (domestic silkworm). RNAcentral's name for it is "mir-2807 microRNA precursor family". It matches the Rfam family "mir-2807 microRNA precursor family". The record is from Rfam by way of RNAcentral. Lineage: Eukaryota; Metazoa; Arthropoda; Insecta; Lepidoptera; Bombycidae.
UUAACUCAAAUUCGUAUCGAGAUGGCACGUUUGCCUACGUUUGCCGCUAGGGGCGCUGUUCCUCCAUACAAAUUUGGGUUA